GGCAUCUCGACGGCUCGGCGGGGCCAGAGAGCGAUCGAGGUUUGUUGCCCGCCGCGGAGCUUCCUGAGCCCCGGCCCCCCGCCUCCGCCGACCAAAGGUUUGCCAGUGGGACCGGCCCGGAGACAAUAGCUGCCCCCGCGGGCGCGCUGUCGGCUUGUUUGGAAAGCCCAGAGGCGCUUCGAGGUAAAAAGAUGUUUCUCUUCUUUCCCGUCUUCCUCUCAAGACCCUCUGGGCUGACCCGGCGCGGGGGCUCACGCCUGUAAUCCCAGCACUUUGGAAAGCGGAGGCGGGCAGAUCACUUGAGCCCGGGAGUUGGAGACCAUCCUGGGCGAAAUGGCAAAACCCUGUCUCUACAAAAAUACAAAAAUCAGCCGGGAGUGGUGGUGUGCGCCUGUGGUCCCAGCUACUCUGGAGACUGAGGUGGAGAAUCGCUUGAACCUGAGAGGCAGAGGUUGCAGUGAACGGAGAUUAUGCCACUGUACUCCAGCCUGAGCAACAGAGCGAGACCCUGUCUCAAACAAACAAACAAACAAAAACCAAAACACAAAACCAAAAAACAAAACACAAACCAAAAAACUGCACUCCAGCCUGAGCGACAGAGCCAGACCCUGUCUCAAAAAAAAAAAAAAAAAAAAAAAAAGAAAAAGAAAAAGAAAGAAAGAAAGCAAGAAAGAAAGAAAAAAAGAAAAGAAAAAGAAAAAUCUCUGGGAAUUGCAUUCAUUCCACAGACUUCUUCCAUGCUUUUCUGGAUUCUCCCAAUAACCAAGGGACUGACAACUGUCAAGCCUGAAUGCCUGGGACCCAAUCCUGCUUAGGCCACACCCAGAAAAGAUGAGUGAGGAUCUCCGCGUUGGAGGAAGAGGGAGUCGAAAGAGGCUUCCACUCUUUGAAAAAGACCCAAUGGUGGUUGGGCUUCGGGUCACGUGACACCUUCUUUGUGGCUCCGGAAGAGGAUUGUGAAGUUUAGGUUUCGUGGAAGAAACCGAUAAUUGAGGAAAAAAAAAAAUCAAGAUUUGGGGGGAAUUACCUACAAAGAUGUAAGGUGUGUUAAUUUGGGCGCUUCUUGGAUUCUACCCUGAGGAGGAGGCGCGUGGUGAGAGGAGAGAUCUUGAUCUGCCGCUCGCUGAGGUUCAGCAGGUUGGCCAUCUCUACACGGCGAGGCCGGCACAGGUAGCGGUUAAAAUGGAACUCCUUCUCCAGCUCCACCAGCUGCGCGCUCGUGUACGCCGUCCGCGCCCGCUUGGACGCCGCCGACCCCGGGGGGCUCUUGUCCCCUCCCCCGCCGCCGCCGCCACCGCCCCCGCUGCCACCACUGCCUCCGCCGCCGCCGCCACCGCCGCCGCCACCACAGCCCUCUGCUGGAUCCGAGGGGGAGGGGUGGGAAGGGGAGAAAAUGAAAUAAAAGAUAAUUACUGAACACGCCGAAAUUGAAUGCAUCGUUUCUUAAUAAAUCCAGGCCUGGACUCAGAGCCCCCGCCGCCCUCCCCUUCGGGUCCCCGCCGCCUCCUCACUCCCCCACCCCACCGCCCGUCGCAUUAGCGGACACUCUAUAAUAGUGGCAUUUAUUAAGAGACC
RNAcentral lists this long non-coding RNA (1575 nucleotides) under Homo sapiens (human). Its description in RNAcentral is "HSALNT0390377". Lineage: Eukaryota; Metazoa; Chordata; Mammalia; Primates; Hominidae. The record is from RNAcentral.